AAGCAAAGAGAAGAUGAGUGGCCAAUAAAAUGGUCUUAUACUCGCUUCCAUAUCACAGGAACAAUGGCCAAUGAAUGGUCUUACAAUUGUCCUCAAUGGGCAAACAACAAAGAUAUGUCACAAAGACAGAUGAAAUGAUCAUGCACUAAUGAGAAAUUAAUGAUGAUAAAUGCACAAAGCAUGCAAGCAGACAUGUAUAAAUGAACUAAGUAA
Molecule: long non-coding RNA, 213 nt
Filed under: Lathyrus oleraceus (garden pea)
Lineage: Eukaryota; Viridiplantae; Streptophyta; Magnoliopsida; Fabales; Fabaceae
Description: Pisum sativum (pea) long non-coding RNA (PSAT_LNC038231)
Source: RNAcentral